Molecule: long non-coding RNA, 9544 nt
Organism: Parus major (Great Tit)
Lineage: Eukaryota; Metazoa; Chordata; Aves; Passeriformes; Paridae
Exons: 3
Source: RefSeq, a predicted model, not a curated record
CAGGGCGAAGCCAUCUCAUUGUUUUGGAGAAAUUCUCUGGCCCCUUGCCUUCCCAGUGGAGAGGGCAGCACAGCCCCCAGCAGGGCCAGGAAUAAACCAUGUCCUUGUAGAAAAAACAAUCCUCUUCCAGGCAGUGGGAAUGUGUGAUCCCUGCUCAUGUCCUGGAGCCCCUGCACCCCAACAGCCCCUUGACCCCAAGAUCCAGCAGGAGCAAUGGCUCAAUGACAUUGUCCAGGGUCCCCAGAGCAGAAACACAUCAGCAGAAACCAUUUUUAGGGCAUUUCAGGGUUAAUAAGGUUUUCUCCAUUGCCAGGAUUACAGGGUUUGAGCACUCUCCACAAUUUAUUUUAACUAAAUAAUAUGGCUAAAGGGAGCACCAAAGGAAUCUUAGUGGAAGAGAAAGGGGGAGAUGCUGAAGUUGGGUCAUUCCAAAGACUGUGGGUCUGUGAGGUCCACUGAGUCACUGGAGAAAGGAACGUGGCACGGAUGGAUGCUGUGCACAGCAGUGAAUCGCAGGUCAGCUCCCUCAAAUUCGUCCGAUGGGGACUAAGGCUGAAAAUAUUCCUAAACUCAUUUUCUUUUUCCUCUGGAGGGAGAUAAGAGUAAACAUGAAUCAUUCUUCUAAAAGUUUGAGAAGCAUUUUGUUCCAAGAAGACUAUGUAAUUUUUUUUCUUCUUCUUCUUCUUCUUACAGUAACAAGUUCACAGAAAACUUCAGGAGGCUUUUACAAAGGCUUGUAAGCACUUUGAAGCUGGAGACUGUUUUUAUAUACAUACAGCACUUGCGUAACAAAGUCUCGACAGUGAAUGGGAUUCCAGGGUGCAGUUGCAAUAAAGUGAUUAAUAGUAUCAUUCAUGGUAUCAUACCUCAUUCAUAGGUUUCCUGUAAGUUAAGAGGAAUACAUUGGCAGGAAGACAGUGGUUGUGACUUUAAACACGAUACUCUUGGGGGGGAAAAGUUACAGCUAACACAUGCACUGACAGGCAGUGUAGAAAAGCUAUGCAAAAGGCUCAAGAAAAUUGUAUUUAGAGCAAAAAGGGUGGAAAAACAAGCCCACAAAGAUGUAGUUGUGAGCUGGUUCUGUGGCACACAAAAAGCAAGGUGGAUACUGCCACACAGAACAGAAAAUAAGAUGUGUCUGUCAAAGGGACGGGUCAGGGGUGAUCACUGUUUAUUCAGGAAAACACAAGUAGGGUUUGGGUUUGUUGCUUCUUAAUCUGCUCACUGUGAGGACUGAUUUUGUCACCAAAAUGUUUGCCACCAAAAUGUUUGUCACUUGCUUGUGGCAGAAAUCACUGAGAAGGCCAGGCAAUAUGUGAAAGGGAAUGCAAAACAGUUGUCAAAGGAGAAAUAAAUGUCCUGGCUGUGGGCUACAGCAGCUAAAGAUGCAUCUGGAACCUCAAGAGGAGUGACAAAUAAUGGGUCAAUAUUUCCUAUAAAGCUGCUUAUUUCAUUUGAAAGCAAAUAAUAGGUCAAAAUUCCUGCUUAUUUCAUCUGGGGAUUAAGUUGUUAAACAGCUACCAUGUGGCUGAAGUACGGAGAAAUGUGUGGGGUGAUAAAAUAUGACCUAGUGUUUCACUGUAGCAGCAUCCCCAUGAUUAGCUAAAACGAGACAUUUAGGUCGGUCCAAGAAAACAUCAGCCCUGGGGAGCAGGCAGGGUGAGGAACACGGGAUCGCUUGGGCUGCGUCCCUACCCGGGCUCCAAACACUCCCUGGCCAGGGCUAUUUUUAAUCGCAGCGCUAUGAAAAGCUGCAUUUCACAGCACCUGAAUUGCAGGCAGGGACUCGGGAGCACGUUUAUCACACGGCUGUCAUCGCUUUUGAGGAAACAAGUGCAGGGCGUUUGGGAUGUUGUCCUAAAGCCACCCGGUGAGACGGGCACAGCUCCUGCACCGGGGCAAACCCAGCCACCCCCGAGAGCUGCACCCCAGGGAUUUCUUCCCCUUGGAGUUUCAUUUAUUAAAUUUCCUCCCAUCUUGUUUCACAGGGAGGUGUUUACCAGCUCGAAAAGUUUAAAGUGUUUUCUCUACUUACAACACAAAAGCCCAGGAGUGAGUGUUGUCACUGGAGAUAAUGUUACAGCUUUGGCAAGAUGACACAUAAAAACUUCAUCAGCCUUCCAAGAAUUUCGGAAAUAGUGGUGAAUAAAGGCAGUGAGCGCUAAGAGCAGGCAGUGCUCACAAGAAGAGCCCUUCCCAGCAGCGCUUUCAAGAGCUGUUUUCUGUUUUCACUAUCAUUAGAGCUGAACAGCUCAGACUGCUUUUAAAUAAUUAUACUUAACAGUUAAAAAACUCUCCUGUCCUAAAAUAAAUUUUAGCUAAGAUGGUUUGUGCUCUGCAGCCUCAUAUGACACUCAAUCUUUCUCGUGUGACUCUUGUAACAAGUCAAAUUCAUGUAUUUUGAUACCGCGCACGUGAUUAUGAUACUUGGAUCACUUAAGCCUGCACAAAACUGCAGUGCUCGCAUGUCAUUUAUCUUAAAAUCCUAUUGUAGCUCUCGUGAAGUGUAAUUUCUUCAGUGAAUGGAAAUUUAUACUGACAGAGGUGUUAUAAAACAUGGAAAAUACUGGGAGGAGAGGGCCCAACAUUUUCAUUAUCUUUUUGAGUGUUCACUAACAGGAUUUAUUUUUCAGCUCAGCUUUGGUUCAUUGCAGGUUACAGAGCUCUGGGGCAAUUAAAGGGACCUGUUUCCAGACUUCUUAAGCAAAACUCACAUUACUUGCAACAGGUGGGAGCUGUGUGCUGUGGCCUGGAGGCAGCAAACUGGUUCACAGGCUUCACUUUCCACACUGGUCCCUAAAGCUGCUUGCUGAAAAUCACCCAGCCUAAAGAAACUCCUGGGAUCCCAGCCUCUGCCUCCCUGUUUCAAAAUGCAUGGGAAAACUUGUCUGGCUUUUUGGGUGGGGAACUUAAUUUCAUGAAGGCUCUAGAGGACGGUUGAUGCUGGAUAGUAACCAUGCCAUUGGCGUGUUACCUGCCCCCAAAAAGGAGAAUCCAGGCUCUAAUCCAUACCCCCAACUCAUGCCAGCUUGCUGGGUACCAAAGCACACCCACACUCAAGUUGGAGACUCCUGUGCUCAGACAAGGAGGAUAAUGUACACCACAUGACUAAUUCUGCAAUAAUAGAAUAAAUAAAUUUAAUUGGUAAAGGACUGCCUUUUCUAUCCUUUUUUAACCCAGGUCUCAGUGCUAAAGGACUGACUGCCUGAUGUUUGAGGUUCCUUUCAGGUAUUUUCUUCAUUGAGAUGCACUGUAUUUAAAGCUCCUGUGGUUGCCAGCUUUGUCUUAUGCCCCCGAGCAGUACUGUGCCUUUUAGUGUUGAGAAACCAGCAUUCUAAUUCCUCUGGAACACCAGGCUGUGCUGCUUUCUCAGCUCACAGGGGGCCUUCUCUCAACCUCAGGUACAAAAACUAUGCCUGCUCCAAAGACAGUGACCAGAAGUCAGGAAAAGCACAGUUUAGAGAGAUAUAUACUUAUAUAUAUAUAUAUAUAUAAGCAAACUACAAUCCUAAAUUUAGACAUCUCCUGCUUUUCAGCUCUCCACAGAUUCCCUGUAAAAUACAAGUAACAGCAUUGAUGAGGUGUAGCUCAUAAAAAAGUAAAUAUUUCUAACUUCCAAGAGCAUGUGUUGCAGCCAGUUGAAGUCAAUGCAGGUUAAAUUCAGUGGAAGGUAUUUCUACCAGCUGAUGGUACGUGACCAUUCAAACAGUUUACCAAGUGCCACGGCAGCAAAAUUCCUCUGUUUAAGACUGGCUGGUUGCCUGGCAGGAAAAUGUGUUCCCAAAUUGGUGUAGUAACACAGGAAUCACUUCUUGGUGACAACCCUAUUGACUGACAGCCUCCAGUAAUGGCAGUCUAUUAAUCUCUUGCUCUGUGGCCAUAAAGCAUUCUGUCCUCCUUCCAUUAAAAGCUGAACGUAAAUAAAUGCAGCUCCCAUUUUACUUGCAUUCUUGCUGUCUACAGAGCCUCUGAGUGAGAGUGACAAGCAGAAGGGCUAAAGAAAAUGUCCCCAUCGUUGGCAUGAGGCCAGCCAAGAAGUGACACUGCAGAUGUGGGGCUCAGGAGCUGCUGAUGUGCUCUGGUUGUUCCACCUUGCUGUGCACAACAGCCCACGUUGCUGACACUGUCAGGGGGAAGGGCAAGGUGUGAAACCUGCUCUGAGCUUGGAGAGUGUCUGGGCCAGGUCAGGGCAGCCUGAAGUGCUGCGUGCCUUUGGGUGGCUGCCAGCAGAACCUCUGGGGUUUUGCAACACCUGAAAAAGAGCCUGGGAAUACAACAGCCCCUUGACCCUGCAGAGUCACCAUCCCCUGUAAAAGAGGACAGGAAUUAUUUACCCACAUUGUGUUCAGGUGUUGGUGUUUUACCUGGAAAUGCAAUGCAGGUCUUUUAAAGCACAUAUGGUGGCUACAGCAGCCUAGAGCCAAAGCCUGUCAUCUCUCCUGCUCCCUCACCUUCCUCUCUCCCCAGGCAUUUAGUUGGCAGAAGAACAUCUUUCAAAUUCCAGUAUUUUAUUUAAAAAGCUCAACUCGAGGUUUUUAAACUGGCUGCAAUUAAGAUUUAAACAACAGGAAAGUUCUUACAGAGGUGCCGUGUCCCUUUGAAAUGGCUUUGCUGAAGAAAAUCGUCCAUAUCCCUGCUGCAGCCAGCUGGACUGCACUGCAGGGUUAAUUUUCACUGUUACCUGUGGCCUUGUGCCUCCUGACACACUCAAGGCAUGUGUGGAAGGACCAAUAAAAUAUGUCCUGGAGUGUUUGGUGUAUUUUUAGAGUUUGUCCCAGAUUAUUGGCCUUUGUCCCAGAUUUCAGUGGUUAGGGUAUAAGAAUGCCCGGUGGGGCUGAGUGCUUCCUGCCUUGCUCUCAGGAAGGCUUUAAUCAGGAAAAAUACCCUCUCAGAGAAGGCAAAUAAUUAAGUUUUUGUGGCAAAUCCUCUAUUGCCAUUAGCAGGAGAUGAUAAACACUCAAGACCACAGUAUCAAUAGAGCAAGGCAGAUGCACUAGGAUUGAAAGUGCAACUUUAUUGUGUUGCUUUGUAUUGAGUAAUGAAUUGGACACUAUAACAAGGUAGUUUUCCUUUUUUUCUUUAUUGGGUGCAGAGCUGGUUUUUACACCAUAAAGUGCCUGUCUUGUGGGGAAAUGCUGGUGUAACUCUCCUGGACAAAGCUCAUCCCACAUCCUGCCAGUGUACAAGCAGGGAGCUAAAGUUGUGAAGAGAUCUUCACACACCAUCCCAUCCAUCCUCCUGCCUUUGGCAGUGGUUAAUUGACCCAUGGCAUUCCUGGUAAAUGCUCAUCCAACCUCUUGCUGCAGUGCUCCAGUCUCCCAGAGUAUUAAGAGUUUCACCUGCAGAACUUUUUUCCUCCUGUGUAACCUCAGCCUUUCCUGAUGUAAUUUGGUCCUUACUGAGCUCAUGGGAAACAAUUCCCCCUUUUCUGUCUUCUUCAGCUUUUUCACAUGAGAAGAUUGUCUCUCUUCACCCUGCCAAAGCCAAGCAAUCCAAUUCUUUUGUCCUUUCCUUGUUUUUCUGGUGGUGCAGCAUGACCCUCACUCCAUCCCUCGGCUCCUUACCCAUAUCCCAGGGGCUAAAUUUCCUUGCUGAAAUCCUGGACUUCCCAUCUCACAUCUCUGACAUCCACUCCUCAGCUCUGAGCUCUGAAUCCAUUCCUCUGGACUCAUCCCUCCCAGAUGGAUUUCAGGUCAUUGGGGUGCCAAAGAGCUUUCUGAUGUUUUUUUGUGCUUCCACCUUGGUCUUGCCUCUUUACCUGCCUAUACCAACUAUGUCUUGCCAAGCUGUCAUAGUGCACCUUCUGCAUAGGGCAUUCCAUGUGUCAUAACAAAGUAUAAAAACUAUUCUGUUAAGAUUCCAGUUACUGAUCCAGCACUUUUGUAGGGACCUGAGAGAGACACAUUGCCAGUAUAGAUGCAGAAAAGGUCCUGCUGCACCCAAUCAUGCCUCUGAGAACUUGCUCCCUUUCCCAGUGCUCCCCAGUAUUCAGCUCUUGGACAUUUUGGCACAUUAUCAGUGAUAAAUGUAUUCACAAGUGAGAGCAGACAGCCCUGCAGGUUGUGAUGCCAGGGUAUUAUGGGUUCUUGGCAUCAGCAGUGCCUCUCAGUGGAUUUCAGACAAAUGAAACAGAAAUAUUUUUAUAGACAGACCCAAGUUUUUAUCUAUUUGUAGGUGUCUUGGUACUCCUUAAAUAGGGAUUAGAUCCCUUGGAAGGAAGACUGCAUUUUAUGUCUUGACUUUCCUGGCCCUUUAUGCACCCAGGCCUCUCUUGCUCCCAAAGGCCACUGAUCUUGUCCUUUAUUUUUGCCACUAAUUUGUAUUGAGAAACAGGUACUGGCAGCUGGGAAAUUGUCAGCAAUACAGAAUGCAAACAAUCUGUUUUCUAUUCUUGUGGUCUAUCCAUGCUGUGGGAUGGUGCACAGACCCUUAAAUUGUUCACCUACAUUUGUUCAAAUGCUUGCAGGUGCAAAUGCUCCUAAUACCAGAUGAGGAAAGAAUUAAAAAAAAUAAAAAUGGAGGGAAAAAGAAGAUUUUUUAAAAAAACCAAGGAUAGCUUGAAGCAAGGAUGAGAAGAAUGAAGAACAUAUGGCAGAGGUACUGGUUGGGGUAUUCUGGUGUCCUGGUUCCAGCUCAGGAUUCUGCAGAAUUUCUGAUAGGCUUUGCUUUACUUAUCUCUUAAGUCCAGAUCAGAAUGGAAAAUACAGACUUUAUCCACAGAAGUAAUUAAAAUGUUGCACUCCCUGGCAGAGGAGUUAAAAUCAAUUUCUCAGAUGCAAGACGAAGAGGAAUUGGCCAGGCUUCUGCCAUGGGGAAAAAGAUGCAGGGCUGUGAUGCUUGGGAGUACAGCAGAAACCCAGUGCUGCAAAAAUCCAGCAGCUCUCCUGGGAUGCCUGUUCUGAGGGCCACAUUGCAGAAGGCAUGGGACAACCUCUCCGUUUCUCUUGGCAAUGGUCUUGGCUCAAGGACAUUUUCCACACCUCAGGAAAUAUUUGGCUUAGCUGGGAAAAGCCCAGAGAGGUGCAUAAAGAGUGGCUGGAGGUGUAGAACACUUGCCAUUGAGAUAAAGCUGAGAGAGAGGAGUGUGUGGCCUGAGGAGGGGACUGAGCUGAGACAAAACAAAUUGCCAAAUACGUGCAAGGCCUGCUGCAAAGAGGAAUGGCACAAUGUGUCCUUGUACCUUCUGCAAGUAGGGUGAGUAAUGGGCUUCAGCUGCAGCAGGAAAAACAUAGGUAAAAGACCAGGAAAAACAUAGGUAAAAGACCAGGAAAAACUUUCCAGUGUUUCAGAUAGUUCAGCUCAGGGAUAUUCCCAGAGGCUCUUGUGGAUUUGGCACUGCAGGAAGUUGUUAGACAAAGCUCUUGCAGGGAUGGUUGAGGUGUUGUUGAUUGUACUGGGAGCCUCUUAAAGGGAUUUAUCCAUCUGGUUUUUUCCUUUUUCUUCCAGUAGCCACUGAAGUAAUUGGAAUUCAGUUCUUCAGCGUUUGGGAAGUCCUGUCACAAUAGCAAUCCCCUGUUUGUAAUCAAGAGGAUUGCAAGAGCAAUCAAAUGCAUAUUGAGCUGAUGUGCAGCUCCCAGGAUUGUGGGGGCACAGAAUCAAGCUGAGAAGUACGUGUGCCAUAACUGUAAAAGUUGCUUAUUCUAAAGGAUUGAAAAUCCAGCUUUUCUUUCACAGGGAGAUGCUGCACAUGAGGAAUAUCACAGGUUAUAUUUAGUGUUACAGGGGCACUAGGGAAAUCUCAUUAGAGCCCAACAACAAUAAUCUGUUAUAAAGGGAAUAGGAGCAAUUUGUAAGCCCUCAGAAAAAUAUUGUGUCUCUGUUCUGCCUUGUCCUCACUGUCUGCUGCUGCUGCUGUAGGACACAGCUUUCCUGAGAGGAGGGUCUGUGCCUGCCUGCUCAGUUAGCCCCGAUACAUCACAUUUUAUUUGCUGGGAGACUUGAACAAUGAGCAGCAAACACUUCUGCUCCUAUUUUAAACACAUGGAAACUGCAGAACAGAGAAAUAAAAUGACCUGCACAGAGUCACAGAGCAAUUUCAUGGCAGGGCUCAGACCAAAGUCCAGCUCUCUUGCUCCCAAACCCAUGUGCCAGCCUUUCUCUUUGUUGGCCCUUAAUUUUAAUCACCGUCCAAUAAAUUCUCUUGGCCCCUUCCAGCUGACUUCCGUGGGAAUAAUGCAAGGUAUCAAAAAAAGUCACCCAGAAUAUCAAUGCAAAAGAAGGCAGUAUUAGAUGCAAAGAAAGAACUGAUGGAAGGGGAAAAACAAAUUUUACAAAAAAGAAUAAAAAAGAAUCAGUUCUAGUGCCAGUUCCAUAAUAUCAUUCCCCUUUUAAUUUGUGCCUGAUCAAAAUUUAAAAAAAAUUAGAUUGCUAAUAUUAAUAAGUGAAAUGAAUCUUGAAUUUUAUAAUAGUGGAGGAAAUGAAAGGACCAAAGUAAUAUUGUGUUGUUAACUGAGAUUUUAAUAAUGAUUCUGUCCUCAGUUGGUGCAUUUAUUCCACAGAAAGUAAAUCAUUAAUGAAGAGGAGGGGAAAACAGUUUUGUGGUGAUGGAUUUUUGAAGGAAAAGUUUAAUUUUGCUUAACUUGUAGAAACUCUGAAAUAUGCUUGGAGCAGUAAACCUAAACUACCACCACCUCAAAAACAGUUUGUAGAAGUGGAAUUUAGCCAAGGGGCUGACAGUGCCUGGGAUAGGAUGGAGAGAUGUCCAAGGCUCCAUUCCAGGAGAGCUGAGGCGAAGGAGAAAGCCCAUCAAGGCUGAUGUCCCCACUACCCACCACGACCUUCAAGCACCUCCAAGCAGUCCCCAAAAAAGGCUCCCUGGAGCAGCAGCCCACAUCACACCAAGCCCCCUGCUUUGAUGUGUCAAGCACAGGGAGGUUCAUGGUCCCACAACGGUGGACAAGAAAAACAUCUCUGCAGCUGAGAUUUCAUGCCUGAGAAAAAGCAAAUACAGCACACACAUCCCUGUGUGUGUGUGUGUGUGUGUGUGUGAAGGAGAUGGGGGAAAUGCAGAAUUCCCCUGAUUCCUUAAUGAGCACAACACCCCGACAAUGAAUGUAGAAAUUUGCAAGUUAAACCACAUUUCUGUAUUUAAAUUAUCAAAUCAAUAAAGAGAUGUAAGCAUUAAACAACAUUAUAUGAGAGCCUGGAGUGUCACCACAAAAAAUUAAGACUAUGUAAUUAAAAGUACAAUGCAAUUUAUUUUUAUAUCGUUCUUCAUUCAAAUCAACAAAUCUUAUUACUUACCCAAAAAUGUAAAGCAGGCUGCAAACUAAUUCAAAAGAUGAAGACAAAGUGGUUAUUGAAAAACCUAUGUUUCUUGUUCCCUUACAUCUGGCAACAGUCAUGAUUUAAUAUUUUAACUACUGUAAUAGGUUAUACUGCUGAAGAAAAGUGCAUUAAUUACUAUGGGAAACCUAAAGAAAUCUAAUUAAGAACAAUAAAAUCACUCUUAUUGACUGGGAAAAAUAAAACUAUGUAAAGGGAAAUGAGGGAUGAAAAAACUGACAACACACAAAUACUAAUAAAUGUCUGCACCAGUAGGAAA